RNAcentral lists this ribosomal RNA (251 nucleotides) under uncultured bacterium. RNAcentral's name for it is "partial 16S ribosomal RNA". It matches the Rfam family "Bacterial small subunit ribosomal RNA", at positions 526 to 776 of the family's 1533-position model. The record is from RNAcentral.
CGUAGGGUGCAAGCGUUAAUCGGAAUUACUGGGCGUAAAGCGUGCGCAGGCGGUUGUGUAAGACAGAUGUGAAAUCCCCGGGCUUAACCUGGGAACUGCAUUUGUGACUGCAUAGCUAGAGUACGGUAGAGGGGGAUGGAAUUCCGCGUGUAGCAGUGAAAUGCGUAGAUAUGCGGAGGAACACCGAUGGCGAAGGCAAUCCCCUGGACCUGUACUGACGCUCAUGCACGAAAGCGUGGGGAGCAAACAGG